AUUUUCUUUUCUUUUACAUCUAGCUUAAAGGGGUUAAAUGCUUCCCACGGGUGGCAAAAGUUCAGACACAUUUAAGCAGUUCAGACUCCAAUCCUUCUUUAUCUCACAACACUUUGGUUAAAAGUUUCGAAGAAUUUGAUGUUAGAAUUUCAAUCAAUCAUACCCUAUAUAUAAAAUAUAUGCCAUAGCCCUUUUCGAGACUUUCUACCAUUUAUCCUCAUCCUGAUCCACACUUGGCAUGGAGUAAUGAGGUAAAGUAAGAAAAUCAUGCAAAACAUUAUCAUAACAUUGCAGUAAAUUCAUUAUCAUAACAUUGCAGUAAAUUCUCAAAGCUAAUUAAGCUAACUUUUUUAUGCAAGCCCGUUCACCUGUCUUGCUUUCUGCAUCGCCUUUCUCUGUGCUAAGCUAACGUGCACUUUUGAUAGAGAGCACAUUUUUCAUGUCCUAGUUAUUAUAGCCCUCACUGCCAAAGCUAUGCCUAUGCUAAUGCCUCAAUAUUUCAGCUGCAUCUUGUGUCAUGUGUGUGUUGCAGCUAGCUAGCUAUAUCUCGAGGCUCUAGCUUGAAAUAGCUUUGCACCUGUGAGCUUUUUUCUGUUCAGAGUUUUGAUAUUUCUUGGAAUUAAUUUCUUUAAAUUCUUGGCUGUCGGUUGAAGUAAUUAAUUUUGUUUGACUUACUGGCCUGCGUACUGUGGAUGGUUGAGGAGUUUAUCACCACUUGCUUUAUAGUUUAAAUGAACUGGGUUAGCGUUAAUUAUUAAUGAAUAAUGAUUGCUCAUCGUAAUUAGCGGUGAGAGAGUUAACUAUUAAAGAUGUUUUUUGAAUCUUAAAUAAAUAAUGAAUUGAUUUAUUGAUGGUGGUAAGUAAUGCUUAUAUCUUAAUUAAUGCAAGACCACCAACAUGAUAUUUAAUUGAAAGAGCUUAGCACCACCCUCUAUUUUUCUAUAAAUGUACGACAAAUGUGGCUCUCUCACGGUCACAUGUGAAUGACUUGCAUCUGAUUUUUUUUUAAUUUUUUUUUAUUUCUAUACGUAGGAGGGUUUAGAGCUCAAAGAUUUUUACAAAAUAAGGGAAGAGACUAAUUAAUACCAAUUUAACUACUACUUAUUAUUAUUAUUAUUAUUAUUAUUAUUAUUAUCAAUUAGGAAUUGUUUAAACCUUAUUAGAGUUGAUGUAGAUCAUUAUUAGAGCUUUACUCGAUUAUUUAACCUUUAGAUAUUGAAAUGGUUAUAUAAUAUGAUAUUAUAAUUUCAGUAAUCAAACCCUCACAAAUUCUAAUUCUAAAAUUAAAAUAGGCAUGUGCAAGUUUAAAAUAUAAAAGACUUUCAUUUGAAAAUAUAUGUUAAAAAUAAUAUAAAAUUAUUUUUAAAACCUCAUCAACCAAAUUUCACUUCUUUUUUAUACUAAAAUCGUUAUUUGACAAGUCUAAAUAAAAAUGAAGGAUAUAUCAAGCUAUUAUUCAUGGGUUUGUCUAGAUUAUUCUUAUAAACUUAGUUUGGUUAGUAAAUAGUUAUAUCUUCUCACGUUAUUAUUUAGAAUUUGAAUUUUAAAGAAGAUUUUGAGAAAAUUAGCAACAAUCUAAAAAUGGAUAAUCUUUUUAAAAUCCAACAAGAAAAAUGCUUUGAUGAAUUCGUGAAAAAAUUUGCAUAAAAAAUAUGUUUUUCACAAGCUACUAUCUUGAGUCAAGAUGUGUGGGCUUAAUAUGUGCCUUGUAUCUAGGCUUAAUGAUUGUUGGGCUCAUCGGUGAUUGAAAGUUUGCUUUAAAAAACAAGCUCCUUGUGGAACGAGAGGCUCUCCAAUGCUUAAGACAAUAGGUGUAUAAGAGAAAAAAAAUAUGAGAAAAUUGAGAGAAAGUGUAAGUUUAGAGAAGUGUCGAGUAUGAAAAAUAUGACUUAUGUUUACCUAAUGAUCCAAGGUAUUAAUAAACUCUGGUCACACUCACCUCAUGAUGUUGAAUGUUUCACAAUUGGUGGAAAUGUCAGUGCCCACCAUUGGUUAUGAUGUCUUGCACUGCUAGUAGUGAAGAGAUUGAUGAAUUUUAGUGACACGUUGGCUAAAAAUAGUUAUUGGUGGCAAAAGAAGGUGCAUGAUUUGCAUAGAAUAUGGUGUGUGUUACAUUAUAACUAUUGGCUAGAUAUGUAAUGCCAUCUUGCAUAAAAGUUUAUACUUGCAGAGAAUCUAUCAUUUCAUGCUUCGAAAAGUUUGUGUGCAUGGGCAAUACGUGGUGCCGUGUUUUGACUUCUCAUAACUUGAAACAAAUUCAUGAUGUGCAUAUUGGAAAAUUCGUGUGGUGAAAAAAAAAAGACGGAAGAUGUGUUAGUGAGAGGUAGGGAGAUAAUGUGUGAGACAAAAUAUAGGAGCGAAGAGAAAAUUUGGUCAUUUAGAUUUUGACCUAAAUGAGAUGGCAUGGUUGGUGGCCAUGCACGUCAUGGGGUGGUGAUUGACCAUGUCGUUUAGGUGAAGCCCAAAUGAUGUGAAGUGAUUUCUUUUUCUUAAACUUAUACACCAUCAUUUACCCCUCAAAUCUUGUAAAAAGACACGUUUGGAAGACUUUAAUCGGUAAAAGUGAGGGAGAAAAUAUUUACUGUAUAGAGUGAAAUUUUAUGGCCAUAAGAAUGUUACCAUGGUUAGCCAUUUAAAUGUUUGCAUUUUUUUUUAUUUUACAAAAUGUUUGCAUGAGAGUUCUCUUCGUGUAAGCUUUUUUCAACAUUUCAAUAGAAUAAUCAUUGAUCCUAUUAGAGAUAAUUAAGUAUAAGGACUCGAUAAAGGAUCCUUAAUCCUUUUGGAAACUAAUGGUCGUAAAGACCUAGAGCAGGAUCCCUGAUUCUUUCUAGAGACAUGUAUAGAGAUUCUAGAGACAUGUAUAGAGAUUCGAUAGAGACAAGUUUAGAGAUAUGAAGAUCUAACCAUAGAGAUUUCCAAAAAGACACAUUUGGAUCUUUAUGGAGACACGUUUGAAGAUAUAAAGAUCUCAUCAUGGAGAUUUUCAUGGAGACACGUCUGAAUACAUGGAGACACGUCUGAAUACAUAGAGACAUGACAUAUGGAGUUUCAUGGAGACAUGUUUAAAACAUAGAGAUUAUUAUAGAGACAUUUUUGAAGCUUUUAAUGGAGAUUUUUGUUGGAGACAUUAAAGAUAUAAAGAAAAGAUGUUGCUUUAUAGAGAUACAAUUCUCAAAGCUGAUUUGAAAAUUAUCUGAUCUUAGAUAGAUCAUUAAGUGUGCAGACUUCAUUCUUUCAUUCCUUUCAUGCUUAGUUUUUUCUUUUUUCAUAAACCAGUGAAUGUACCCUCUAGUGCUCAAUUUUUCUAUCUUUUUUUUAAGGCAUGACAUUCCUCAUUUUCAUAUCCAUGGUCACAGUAAAAAAAACUUAUUAAGGUUCUUCAUGUUUGCACCGCUUUUCAUGGAAGGAGGAUAUUGUAUAAUUUCCCUCCCUAUAAUAGUAACUAGCACCUCAGUUCGUGCAUGGGGAAUAUCAAGCGAUCAUAAGUGUUCUUUAGUGCUCUUUUGGAUGCUUUAGUUAGAGACUAGUGAUAUUGGAAAGACUCAACUCAGUGGAAAUAUAAGUGAUUUUAUCUUAUCACGCUAACUUCUUCAACCCUUAUAUAAUUUUUCAUGGCAUGUUUGAUGUUGAUAACAUUUUUAUUAGGGAACUGUUUAACGUUUACUAUAGGGAAUAAUUGUAUACUUUCCUAAUUAGAGCUUAUAUGAUGAUGAAUCCAAUUAGUCUUUUCACAUUGAGCAUUUCCUCGUUAAACCUUUAAAGAUAGAACACAAUGCUCUUAUCUUCUUGUUGUGUGAUGGCAAAGAUCUCACUGGUGCUAUUUUUAGCUAAAAUGCUUGUGAUGAAGUGAGAGAUGAGUUUAGAGUUGAAAUCAUAAAAAUUGAAAGAUUGAGUUAGGCUCUAGGCUAUAGUAUCAUGCGUGUACAGAUACACGAAAGUUUUUUAUAAAGAACUUUGUAUAUAACAUCAUUGUCUUGUGUGACUGUGACAAGCUCGAAGAUGUUUCUCAUAUUUUGUAUGUGUUGUCAGGGUCUAUAAGGCCUUUAUAAUUGUCUAAGUUUGUUUUUGUAGAUACAAAGUCUGAGGAGUGUCAAGUGUAUGGUACUCUAUGACAAAAUGGAGAUUUUUCCACUUGUCGGGGCUUGUAUUCAAAAGCUUGUUGGGUCAUGGAUCUUUUCUCACACCUAGAUCAUUUUUCUUUCCAAGUGAAACUCAAAUGGAGAUCAAUGAUGAUUGGAUCCUUAUUUGAAGCACCUUAUAUGAGAACGAUGGAUGUAGCUACUUCUUAGUAUAAAGUGUAAGAGCUACUCACUUGUAUGUCAUUUUUUUCUCUAUCUCUUCACGGAACUAGAGUCAUCAUUACAUAUUUGAUGGUGGAUGCAUGAGAGCUUGUUGAUUGAUAGUAGCCAAAAUAACUCAUCAUUUUGAAAACGACAAGGUAGUAGUCAAAACGG
RNAcentral lists this long non-coding RNA (4454 nucleotides) under Populus trichocarpa (black cottonwood). RNAcentral describes it as "long non-coding RNA (PTRI_LNC002701)". Lineage: Eukaryota; Viridiplantae; Streptophyta; Magnoliopsida; Malpighiales; Salicaceae. The record is from RNAcentral.